GUGAUGAUCAUAGGAUUCAAACCCUUUUGGUAUCAAAUGUAAUGACCUGCGAUGUGAUCUGUGAUGUCAUGUAAAUUUUCAGAUGCUUGCAUGCAUCUUAUUUGAUGUUUUGAGAGGCCUGCGUGCCUCCUAAAAGGAGAUGUAAUUUAUUUUUAUUUUUAUUUUACAUCUGGUUGUAUUUCUGUGAUGUGAUGUACGUCAACGAUCAAGACGAAGAUGAUGCAUGAGAUGAGCAGGGGUCUAAGCGGUUGAUGGCGAUUGGAUCAAGAGUUGGUCAAGGAUCGAAUCAAGAAGGCUUGGAACCAAUUCAAGAGUUGAAGACCAGUUGAUCGAUUGACGUGCAUGUACUUGUAAUACGACCUAACUAGAAUCCAUGAUCAACACCUAUUUAAAGUUUAGCUUUAAUUAUUGCUGCGAUUAUAACUGCCUGCAAUGUGUCGUUUGCAUGUGAUGUGAAUGCGAGUCGGGUAGAUAGGUUUACAUGUGAUGUAGCAAAUCCAAUUGAGACCUAAAUUAAAACCUCCUCAAUCAAGUC
This 535-nucleotide long non-coding RNA is filed under the name Phoenix dactylifera (date palm). RNAcentral describes it as "long non-coding RNA (PDAC_LNC020925)". Lineage: Eukaryota; Viridiplantae; Streptophyta; Magnoliopsida; Arecales; Arecaceae. The record is from RNAcentral.